Aegilops tauschii subsp. strangulata is the source of this 2285-nucleotide non-coding RNA. NCBI's taxonomy places the organism in Eukaryota, Viridiplantae, Streptophyta, Magnoliopsida, Poales, Poaceae. The record is from RefSeq and is a predicted model, not a curated record.
UUAUUUUGAUGAAUCUAUGGCUAGUAUCGGGGGAUAUGAACCAUAGAGAAGUUGGAAUACAGUAGGUUUAACACCAAUUUAAAACAAUAAUGAGGCUAGCCAACUCGCAUCCACGGAGCUCCCCCGAUCGGGGCUUUGUUGGCCGUCCGAUCUGCCUUCUAGCGCGCCUGAGCCGUUGGAUCUUCACAGCAGUCAAAUUUGAUUUUCACCUUGCAGUCAUUUUCACUAGCCAAUGACGGGUGGGCUCGUCUCGGUGUUCAUUGGCUGGGUCAGCCAUGCCCGCGUGCAGGAAAUUUUUGGCCAAUCCGCUCCUCGUGUUCCGCAGCCAAUCCUAUCCUCCCCUCAGUCCCGUACCAGUCGCCGCACAAACCCUAGCCCCCAUUCCCCUCGAUCCCCAUAGUCUAUCCGCCUCCUCCUCCCAUCACCACGUCCUCCGCCAUGGAGCCUCGCCGCCGUGUGCGUCUCCCUUCUCCACCAUGCUGCCCUUCCACCUCGCCUCCCUUCUCUUCUUUGUCUAUGCGGCCGUCGGUGGUGGCUGGUUCCAAAUCGGGCGCGGAUUAGCCGAGCCCGGUGGUGAGGUGAAGGAGCAGGGUGGGCGACCCGUCGCGAUGGGAUGGGGCUAGGGAAGAGGGAGGAGGCCGAAGGGUGAAGGAGCAGGCCGGCCCUCACGGUCACAGAGGCGCCGCCGCUGUCCAGGGUCAUUCGCCGUCACCAGCCUCACUCGCCUCGUCUCCUAUCUCUUCACCACUGCAUCCAUGUGAAUUUUUGGAGAAUGGUGCUCCGAUUUGGUCCCCAUGGCCUGCAACAUUUAUGGAGGAGGAUUGCAGGUGUCGAUACAAUGGAUCAAUUUCUGGCUUUGUAGUUGGAGCAUAGCCUCGAUUAUGCAUGAUUUUGGGGUUUUGCUCUCUCCCUGUGUGCUACACAUUUCUGCUCUCCCCAGUAGCAAUUGGAUGUUAAGCUGCUAUGGGCAGCGGCGGUGCAUCAAGGUGCAAGGCAGCAACGACAUGGUCAUAGUACGCUAAAGGAUGAACUCCUACUUUUUCUGAUGCUAGCUCCUUGCUGUAGAUAUACCAGCCUGCUUACAUCUCCCAAGAUAUCCUCUUGGUCAAGGCAAUUGCACAUGAUGAAGCCACUCAUUUUAGUGGUAUACCACACUUUGAGCAAUAGGACCAAAAACAGGAAGAUAAAUUUUCACAAUUCGAUACUUCAUAUUUUCCAGAAGUACGGCCACCUUCUGCACAGUUCCCUUGCAUUGGUGUUCUUAUCAAAUAAGUUUCUUUCCGUAGAAUUUGUUCAGGAUAUGCAUUGUGCUUAAACAUGAGUGCUCGCUUGCCAAACGUUGGCCCUCGGAUGAAUUCGACGCUUCAAUCGAGCUGACGAGCCCCAUGGGGGUGAGAGGCGGAUAACAAUACGAGAAGGAGCAUGCCAUCGAGGAGUGCAAGCAGCGGCACUCCUCCGCAAUGGGGUAUGGCUGCAGGGGAGGGGACGCGGCGAACGACAGAAAGAAGGAGCAGGUAUUCGAGGACUACAAGCAGCAGGGUAAGAUGUGUAUAUUUUCAAACGAUCUUGACUGUUUUGCAACAUGUAUUGCAUUUCCAGGGAUGAUCCUUUUGCUUAUUUAUUAUUUGCUAUGUUCUCUGAAGAUUAUUUUUGGCCCAUACAGUUUCCAAUGGAUGUUUUGGUUCUGAGUGGCCGGAGAUAUUGUGGCUUGAUGUCCCUAGAGCAGUCGGACCCUUCCAAGAUAGGUGAGCCUGAUUUCUUCUGAACUCUUGCACCACAAUACGUGAAAAGGAAUAUGUCCGCCUAUCAGCACCAUUUCUUGAGGAGGAUUGUUGUUUCCCCUUUAUUUUGUCACACCUUUCAUGUGAUGGAGUUUUUCUAGGUAACUUUAGAUACUAGGAAUCAAUGCACUUUUAGAUAGUACAUUAGCCCCGAUGGUGCUAUCAUUAAUAUCUAUUUUUGCGCUUUUCAAAUUUUCUACUAUGCUAUUUAUCAUGUUCAGGGAUUAUGACUUUACACAUGUAAUGCUGAUUUGAAAACUUCCCUUGAUUUGUUCCUCAAAUGUUAUGAGAGAGUGUUGCGUAUUAGGAAACCCCUUGGAUAGUUAAGGUGUUGUGUCAGCUGACUAAUAUAAAGUUAUAUUUCCAGCAGAAGAUAUUUGGGAUUGACGUUCUGAUGAGAAAGUAGCAUACGGAUGGAUGGACAUGAACUAUUCAGUGUGAGACUGUGAUUCCCCCACAAGUCGGGAUGAGACUCCGGACGAAAAAUAAAAAAAGAGGCCAUAA